CGGAUGAGAAGAGCUUGCUCUUCGAUUCAGCGGCGGACGGGUGAGUAAUGCCUAGGAAUCUGCCUGGUAGUGGGGGACAACGUUUCGAAAGGAACGCUAAUACCGCAUACGUCCUACGGGAGAAAGCAGGGGACCUUCGGGCCUUGCGCUAUCAGAUGAGCCUAGGUCGGAUUAGCUAGUUGGUGAGGUAAUGGCUCACCAAGGCGACGAUCCGUAACUGGUCUGAGAGGAUGAUCAGUCACACUGGAACUGAGACACGGUCCGGACUCCUACGGGAGGCAGCAGUGGGGAAUAUUGGACAAUGGGCGAAAGCCUGAUCCAGCCAUGCCGCGUGUGUGAAGAAGGUCUUCGGAUUGUAAAGCACUUUAAGUUGGGAGGAAGGGCAGUAAGUUAAUACCUUGCUGUUUUGACGUUACCGACAGAAUAAGCACCGGCUAACUCUGUGCCAGCAGUCGCGGUAAUACAGAGGGUGCAAGCGUUAAUCGGAAUUACUGGGCGUAAAGCGCGCGUAGGUGGUUCGUUAAGUUGGAUGUGAAAGCCCCGGGCUCAACCUGGGAACUGCAUCCAAAACUGGCGAGCUAGAGUAUGGUAGAGGGUGGUGGAAUUUCCUGUGUAGCGGUGAAAUGCGUAGAUAUAGGAAGGAACACCAGUGGCGAAGGCGACCA
RNAcentral lists this ribosomal RNA (665 nucleotides) under uncultured Pseudomonadota bacterium. RNAcentral describes it as "bacterial SSU rRNA". It matches the Rfam family "Bacterial small subunit ribosomal RNA", at positions 67 to 727 of the family's 1533-position model. The record is from RNAcentral. Lineage: Bacteria; Pseudomonadati; Pseudomonadota.